This 324-nucleotide ribosomal RNA is filed under the name Triticum aestivum (bread wheat). RNAcentral describes it as "partial small subunit ribosomal RNA". Lineage: Eukaryota; Viridiplantae; Streptophyta; Magnoliopsida; Poales; Poaceae. The record is from RNAcentral.
AUGGAGACCAACGAUGCUGUUCCUCUGCCCAAUCAUCUUUCUUUGCAUCCUCAACGUUCCACAUCUGAUUGCAGACGCUUGAGGCAUCACCGCAUCAGAGAUGUUCUUACUUUACUGGCAUGUUCUUCAAAGCUUCAUUGGAUCCAUGCGCAAAAACAAAACAAAAAGCUUCAUUGGAUCCAGGGAUUAGAAGGGGAGACGGGGAAUGAGUGUUGUAGCCUUGCAGAUGUGGGAAGCUACAUCGACAAUUCGACAUCAAGCCAUAUGCCUAUAUUCAGGUGCUUUUCUCCUUGUAUUGACUGUUUUUCUGUAAUUUUUUGGUGA